UAAGUGGAGAGUUUGAUCCUGGCUCAGAGCGAACGUUAGCGGCAGGCCUAACACAUGCAAGUCGAGCGAGAACGGUGCCUUCGGGCGCCUAGUAAAGCGGCGAACGGGUGAGUAACACGUGGGUAACCUGCCCUCCGGUGGGGGACAACCAUCCGAAAGGAUGGCUAAUACCGCAUACGUCCGCGAGUCCUGCGGGGCUCGCGGGGAAAGACUUCGGUCGCCGGAGGAUGGGCCCGCGGCGCAUCAGCUUGAUGGUGGGGUAACGGCCUACCAUGGCGAAGACGCGUAGCUGGUCUGAGAGGAUGAUCAGCCACACUGGGACUGAGACACGGCCCAGACUCCUACGGGAGGCAGCAGUGGGGAAUAUUGGACAAUGGGCGAAA
This 383-nucleotide ribosomal RNA is filed under the name Deltaproteobacteria bacterium. RNAcentral describes it as "bacterial SSU rRNA". It matches the Rfam family "Bacterial small subunit ribosomal RNA", at positions 1 to 380 of the family's 1533-position model. The record is from RNAcentral. Lineage: Bacteria; Pseudomonadati; Myxococcota; Myxococcia.